This is a long non-coding RNA of Hemicordylus capensis (graceful crag lizard), 1102 nucleotides long. RefSeq lists it as uncharacterized. The transcript has 2 exons. The record is from RefSeq and is a predicted model, not a curated record. Lineage: Eukaryota; Metazoa; Chordata; Lepidosauria; Squamata; Cordylidae.
CCUGUGGAAUUGUGCUGAUGUGUGACAUGUGAAGGGGCCCCAUAUGUUGUUGUUCCUAAAGAGUGCUCCAACAGUUAACUUGAACUGAUUUACAAUUUCCCUCUUAAAACCUUUAAGGUAAGCCUUGGAAUAAGCUUGAAUUGUCAAUUUCCCACUCUCUCCCCAUGACCCAUACCAGAUUAAGGAAUUCAAAUGCUUAUAUUGCAAAAAGCAACCAUGCAAAGAUGUGAUUGUUUUGCUUAAGGGUGAAUGGAAACAGAGCAGCGUAUUUUGUUGAAACUACAUUUUAGCCAAACCUUUCCACCUCUAGCUUCCCCUCCUCUCGUUACACACACAUGUUGCAGAUGGGGAGGGCUGCUUGUAUUGCUUCAGAUUUGGCAGCAGCUUAGCUAUUCCUGUUUAUAAAGGUCCCAGCAGCCUGCAAGGGGAGAACACACAAUUGCAUUUGUUCGUUACUUGCCUCUUGAACAGUUCUGGAGCAUCCUGGAAUUCUAAGUUGUCUGUUUCUCUCUUUGCUGUGCAAAGGAAGCAUUUGCCAUAUAUCAAGAACUUUGAGGUCACACUGGUGAGCUGCUGACUUUGGGAGAAAAGGUGCAAAAGCAAUUCAUCAAGAAAAAAAUGAACGUCUCUAGAAGAAUACAUGGUCUUCGCGCUCACAGGCCCAAACCAUCCACAAGUGCUGGAGAGAAUGUGCAGAAUUCUUGUGGCUGCAAACAGUGGUGUGGAAAUGAGCAAACAACAGUUCAUACACUUUAUACACUUAUCAUCAUGGUCAUCCUAAUUGCAAUUUGGGGAGUCUGGGCAAUAAAAGAUACCUAAUAAUGUUUAAGAAAUGCCUUUUGUAUCCAGAGUUCAGAAAGAGCCUGCUGAGAACAAAAAUGACAAAGCCUUGGGACUGGAACCCACUGGAACUCUUUUUGAACUCAAGGAUGGAACUAUUAUUGCCAGUGGAUGCCAAGCCAUUGGUCAUGUAAUGCACAACGGAAUGUGACAAAGAAUGUAAAAUAUAAAUAAUUUUGAUACUGCUUUUCAGUAAUUGUAUAAACUUGACAUGUAAAUUGAAACAUAUUUUAAAUAUAAAAAUAAUAUACAUAUUUUAAAA